AAGUAAGAAGCAAUAAUUGUAAUCAGUUUCGACCUGAUAGUAAGAUAUUUUAAAUAUCCUUAUUUA
This 66-nucleotide transfer RNA is filed under the name Statilia maculata. Its description in RNAcentral is "tRNA-Arg". Lineage: Eukaryota; Metazoa; Arthropoda; Insecta; Mantodea; Mantidae. The record is from RNAcentral.